UACGUAGGGGGCAAGCGUUGUCCGGAAUCAUUGGGCGUAAAGAGCGUGUAGGCGGCCAGAUAAGUCCGCUGUGAAAUCUCGAGGCUCAACUUCGAGCUGUCGGUGGAAACUGUCUGGCUAGAGUCCGGAAGAGGAGAAUGGAAUUCCUGGUGUAGCGGUGAAAUGCGCAGAUAUCAGGAGGAACACCUGUGGCGAAAGCGGCUCACUGGACCACAACUGACGCUGAGGCGCGAAAGCUAGGGGAGCAAACAGG
Molecule: ribosomal RNA, 253 nt
Filed under: uncultured bacterium
Lineage: Bacteria
Description: partial 16S ribosomal RNA
Rfam family: Bacterial small subunit ribosomal RNA
Source: RNAcentral